UACGGGAGGCAGCAGUGGGGAAUAUUGCACAAUGGGCGCAAGCCUGAUGCAGCCAUGCCGCGUGUAUGAAGAAGGCCUUCGGGUUGUAAAGUACUUUCAGUCGUGAGGAAGGUGUUAAGGUUAAUAACCUUAGCAAUUGACGUUAGCGACAGAAGAAGCACCGGCUAACUCCGUGCCAGCAGCCGCGGUAAUACGGAGGGUGCGAGCGUUAAUCGGAAUUACUGGGCGUAAAGGGCACGCAGGCGGUUAAUUAAGUUGGAUGUGAAAUCCCCGGGCUUAACCUGGGAAUGGCAUUCAGACUGGUUAGCUAGAGUCUUGUAGAGGGGGUUAGAAUUCCAUGUGUAGCGGUGAAAUGCGUAGAGAUGUGGAGGAAUACCGGUGGCGAAGGCGGCCCCUGGACAAAGGCUGACGCUCAUGUGCGAAAGCGUGGGGAGCAAAC
This 439-nucleotide ribosomal RNA is filed under the name uncultured bacterium. RNAcentral's name for it is "bacterial SSU rRNA". It matches the Rfam family "Bacterial small subunit ribosomal RNA", at positions 340 to 773 of the family's 1533-position model. The record is from RNAcentral.